Molecule: ribosomal RNA, 2169 nt
Filed under: human gut metagenome
Description: bacterial LSU rRNA
Rfam family: Bacterial large subunit ribosomal RNA (bases 1320-2158)
Source: RNAcentral
AACACUCCGGCGCUGGAGCCGAUCCGUCUGCGCACCCGCGACAACGCCGAAGGACUCAGCGAAAAACUGCGCGAGACCAACUACAGAGGAGCCUGCGCGGUGGCCGCACACCAGGCUGGGCUGAACUCCAUCGAAGCGGGAGACGAGCUGAUCCGCAAGACUUUAGCCAUUUAGGAAUAUGCCAAUGAGGCAAACAGAACACAUAAUUGACACACGAAUAUGAAACAGAUUGAAGACCUUAUCGCGAUUUCCCGGAAGUUCGGACAGGACUCCAGGUUCGUGAUCGCCGGAGGUGGCAACACUUCCUACAAGGAUGAGAACAGACUUUGGGUGAAGGCCAGCGGCCACGCCCUCGCAACGAUAACAGAGGACGGGUUUGCCGUCCUUGACAGAGCCCUUCUGAACGAGAUGGGCGAAAAGGCUUACAAUGCGGACACGGCGAUACGUGAGGAACAGGUCAAGAACGACCUCUCCGUGGCCUGUAUAACAAAGGACAGAAGGCCUUCAGUGGAGACAUCCCUGCACAACUGCAUGGGAUUCGCCUUCGUGGUUCACCUCCACCCUACCCUUGUCAACGGCCUGAUGUGCUCGGUGAACGCCGAGGCCGCGUGCAAGGAGAUAUUCCCAGAUGCCCUUUACAUUGAAUAUACCGACCCGGGCUACACGCUUUUCAAGAAGGUCUAUGACCGGAUAAAGGCCUACAAGGCUGAGAAAGGCAAGGAACCCCAGGUGAUAUUCCUUCAGAAUCACGGAAUAUUCGUGGGUGGGGACACCACCGCUGAGAUUGAGGGAAUAUAUUCAGAAGUCCUUGGAAAACUUGAGGCCAAGGUCGCCGCUCUUCCGGAGGGUGACACGGCUGUCUCGGAGACAGUUACGGAUGUCGUUCCGGCGAUCAGGCAGAUGCUCUCGCGCUCCGGAAGGGGCUUCAAGACCUUGAAAGUCACGAAGAACGCCCUUGUGGACUUCUUCAUUGAUGGUUGUUCAGUCACUUCGACAGGCUCAGUGACUGAUUGUCCCGGAAAAUCCGGUUUCGACAAGAUUGCCAAGCCGUUCACCCCGGACAUCAUCGUGUACUGCAAGAGCUCGUACAUAUUCAUUGAAGCCGAGUCAGAUGAAGAGAUUUUAAAGCAGGCCGAGGAGGAAAUCGAGGCUUUCGUAAGCGGGAAAGGCUACACGCCUAAGGUAUUGCUCAUCAAAGGAAUCGGACUCAUCGCCGUGGGAGACAGCUCCAGGAACGCACAGAUCAUCACCGAUGUGUUCACGGACGCGAUGAAGGUAGCGUUCUAUGCGCAGAGCUUCGGCGGAGAGCAUCCGAUGGAGCGGGCUUGGAUCGACUUCAUCGACAACUGGGAGGUGGAGAACUACCGCCGCAAGGUGGCCUCCAGUGCAUCCAAAGGCCGUGUGGAAGGCCGCACGAUCAUCGUGACCGGAGCCGCCCAGGGAUACCACCCUUGAUGUAUCGGAAUUCUAACCGUAGGAGUAACGAAACUCGGGACAGUGUCAGGCGGGCAGUUUGACUGGGGCGGUCGCCUCCCAAAGAGUAACGGAGGCGCCCAAAGGUUCCCUCAGCGCGGCCGGAAAUCGCGCGAAGAGUGUAAAGGCAGAAGGGAGCUUGACUGAGAGCCAAACACGGCGAUCAGGUACGAAAGUAGGGCUUAGUGAUCCGGUGGCAUCCAAGUGGAAGGGCCAUCGCUCAACGGAUAAAAGCUACCCUGGGGAUAACAGGCUAAUCUCUCCCAAGAGUCCAUAUCGACGGGGAGGUUUGGCACCUCGAUGUCGGCUCAUCACAUCCUGGGGCUGAAGUCGGUCCCAAGGGUUGGGCUGUUCGCCCAUUAAAGUGGUACGUGAGCUGGGUUCAGAACGUCGUGAGACAGUUCGGUCCCUAUCCAUCGCGGGCGCAAGAGAUUUGAAGGGGGCUGCUCCUAGUACGAGAGGACCGGAGUGGACGAACCAAUGGUGUACCAAUUAUCUCGCCAGAGGUAUAGUUGGGUAGCUACGUUCGGAAAGGAUAAACGCUGAAAGCAUCUAAGCGUGAAACCAGCCUUAAGAUGAGAUCUCUCAUAGAGUAAUCUAGUAAGACACCUUGGAGAAGACGAGGUUGAUAGGUCGGGAGUGUAAGUACAGUAAUGUAUUCAGCGGACCGAUACUAAUAUGUCGAGGGCUUGACUU